This 377-nucleotide ribosomal RNA is filed under the name uncultured bacterium. Its description in RNAcentral is "bacterial SSU rRNA". It matches the Rfam family "Bacterial small subunit ribosomal RNA", at positions 521 to 896 of the family's 1533-position model. The record is from RNAcentral.
UAAUACGGGGGGUGCAAGCGUUGUUCGGAUUUACUGGGCGUAAAGGGCGCGUAGGCGGACCUUCAAGUCGGAUGUGAAAACUGGCAGCUUAACUGCCAGCCUGCAUACGAUACUGUGGGUCUUGGGUUCAGAAGAGGAAAGCGGAAUUCCAGGUGUAGCGGUGAAAUGCGUAGAUAUCUGGAAGAACACCAGUAGCGAAGGCGGCUUUCUGGUCUGAUACUGACGCUGAAGCGCGAAGGCUAGGGGAGCAAACAGGAUUAGAUACCCUGGUAGUCCUAGCGGUAAACGAUGGGUACUAGGUGUCGGGGGUAUCGACCCCCUCGGUGCCGCAGCUAACGCAUUAAGUACCCCGCCUGGGGAGUACGGUCGCAAGAUUG